UCAUAAUUUUGAUAAAAUUUUAAUAUAAUAAUCGUUAUUUUUAGAUUAUUUUUUAAAAAUAGUAUAUAAAAGAGAAAAAUUUUUCCCCAUAUUAACACAUAAUUGUUACAAAAAUGAAUACAAAUUUCUAUCUUUUAGGAUAUUUAUAUACUUUGAUUAUUAUAUUGAUGUUAAGUCAAAUAUUUAUGGGAUGUCCCAACUAUAUCUUUGAUCCAAAUAGCGACGAACUACGCAGACAGCGCACUUAUUUAGAAAUAUUUGGUGAGAGUAGAUUCUGCCACGAUUAUUGCACUUCAAAUGAAUAUUUCUGCUGUAAAUGUCCGUAAUUCUGUCAGAUUUUAUAUAUAUACAAAAUAAAAUUUGGAGAAUUUAUAAAAGAAAACUUUUAUUAUAUAAAUUAUUGCAAUGAUAACUAUGUUUUAUAAAUAGAUAAAUUAUUGAUUAAUUAUUUUUAAUAACAAGUUGGUAUUAUUUUAUACUAUAUUUGGUACCCCUAACAACGACAGGAGCAUGAACCAUAAUACGCACCUUUGUCAGUAGAGGUAUACUUUUAUUCUAUGGGAUUAGUUUAUUUUAAAAUAUUCAUAAUCAUCGCCACCCUAAUAUUUUGUAUUCGCUAUUGCUAUUAUAAAUUUUAUUUUGGUAAGCUUAGAGAAAUAUCCUUAAUAAAGUAAGUAUUCAUAGGAGCUGGCGUAAAAUAAUAAAUAUUUUUUCUAUAUUAUAAUCUAAUAAUAUAAAUAUAAAAUUCUAUUUUGUUAAUUUUUGGUGUUAAGGUACAAUUUUAAUGUAAUAGAUUAAAUGGAUAAACGAUUUUUGUAAAAGUAAUAUAUGGAUAUAUUAUUUUCUUAUUUGUAAUCAUAUAAUAUAUUGUUAUAUAUUAUAUAAAUCACUUCAUUUCAUUAUAUAUUCCAUUUUUUUAAAAGUAAAUCAUUUUUAAUUGUUUUAUUGUUUUUCUUCUACAGUUUAAUAAACUAGUUCAAUUGCA
Molecule: long non-coding RNA, 985 nt
Organism: Gordionus sp. m RMFG-2023
Lineage: Eukaryota; Metazoa; Nematomorpha; Gordioida; Chordodea; Parachordodidae
Exons: 3
Source: RefSeq, a predicted model, not a curated record